GAUAAACGCUGGCGGCGUGCCUAAUACAUGCAAGUCGAGCGAACGGACGAGAAGCUUGCUUCUCUGAUGUUAGCGGCGGACGGGUGAGUAACACGUGGAUAACCUACCUAUAAGACUGGGAUAACUUCGGGAAACCGGAGCUAAUACCGGAUAAUAUUUUGAACCGCAUGGUUCAAAAGUGAAAGACGGUCUUGCUGUCACCUAUAGAUGGAUCCGCGCUGCAUUAGCUAGUUGGUAAGGUAACGGCUUACCAAGGCAACGAUGCAUAGCCGACCUGAGAGGGUGAUCGGCCACACUGGAACUGAGACACGGUCCAGACUCCUACGGGAGGCAGCAGUAGGGAAUCUUCCGCAAUGGGCGAAAGCCUGACGGAGCAACGCCGCGUGAGUGAUGAAGGUCUUCGGAUCGUAAAACUCUGUUAUUAGGGAAGAACAUAUGUGUAAGUAACUGUGCACAUCUUGACGGUACCUAAUCAGAAAGCCACGGCUAACUACGUGCCAGCAGCCGCGGUAAUACGUAGGUGGCAAGCGUUAUCCGGAAUUAUUGGGCGUAAAGCGCGCGUAGGCGGUUUUUUAAGUCUGAUGUGAAAGCCCACGGCUCAACCGUGGAGGGUCAUUGGAAACUGGAAAACUUGAGUGCAGAAGAGGAAAGUGGAAUUCCAUGUGUAGCGGUGAAAUGCGCAGAGAUAUGGAGGAACACCAGUGGCGAAGGCGACUUUCUGGUCUGUAACUGACGCUGAUGUGCGAAAGCGUGGGGAUCAAACAGGAUUAGAUACCCUGGUAGUCCACGCCGUAAACGAUGAGUGCUAAGUGUUAGGGGGUUUCCGCCCCUUAGUGCUGCAGCUAACGCAUUAAGCACUCCGCCUGGGGAGUACGACCGCAAGGUUGAAACUCAAAGGAAUUGACGGGGACCCGCACAAGCGGUGGAGCAUGUGGUUUAAUUCGAAGCAACGCGAAGAACCUUACCAAAUCUUGACAUCCUUUGACAACUCUAGAGAUAGAGCCUUCCCCUUCGGGGGACAAAGUGACAGGUGGUGCAUGGUUGUCGUCAGCUCGUGUCGUGAGAUGUUGGGUUAAGUCCCGCAACGAGCGCAACCCUUAAGCUUAGUUGCCAUCAUUAAGUUGGGCACUCUAAGUUGACUGCCGGUGACAAACCGGAGGAAGGUGGGGAUGACGUCAAAUCAUCAUGCCCCUUAUGAUUUGGGCUACACACGUGCUACAAUGGACAAUACAAAGGGCAGCGAAACCGCGAGGUCAAGCAAAUCCCAUAAAGUUGUUCUCAGUUCGGAUUGUAGUCUGCAACUCGACUACAUAAAGCUGGAAUCGCUAGUAAUCGUAGAUCAGCAUGCUACGGUGAAUACGUUCCCGGGUCU
This 1372-nucleotide ribosomal RNA is filed under the name uncultured bacterium. Its description in RNAcentral is "bacterial SSU rRNA". It matches the Rfam family "Bacterial small subunit ribosomal RNA", at positions 28 to 1381 of the family's 1533-position model. The record is from RNAcentral.